RNAcentral lists this long non-coding RNA (1967 nucleotides) under Betta splendens (Siamese fighting fish). RNAcentral describes it as "lncRNA (ENSBSLG00000014464.1)". Lineage: Eukaryota; Metazoa; Chordata; Actinopteri; Anabantiformes; Osphronemidae. The record is from RNAcentral.
CCAUAUUGAACCCACCGCACAUAAACAUUUCAUUAAUUUCAUCUUAUAAAUACACUUUUUCUUAUCUUGGUCCCUGAUGUUUCUGUUCUGCAGUUGUCCAUUUGUCAGCUGCCUGGGUUUAAUUUAUUCAUUAUCUUCCAUCCUCUCUGCGCGGAGGCUGCUGAUUCUUCUGCCCUGACUACAGUAAUGGGCACAUUUUUUCUCUGGACAGUAGUUUGCUUUAAAUUAAUAAGGACUGUGAUUCCUCUUCACUGUUUCACGUGCAGUGAUGUAUGAACUGAAAACAGGGCACAGUCAAAACAGAAAGACUGUGCAGAAAGAGCUUAUUUCCUUCUCAUUGUUUAGUUACAAAUCAGGCCAAAGGUGAAGCUGGCGUUCAUAAUAAAAGCCGUUAACUAAAAUCAAACCUAUAUUUAUUCUUCUAUUCUUGUUUAAACAGCAGUUUGUUGCCUUCACAUCCUGCUUCUCACCUGUUCCCCUCUCAGACCCGUUCAUCCAGACUUUUUCCACCGGCCUGCCUUCCUGCCAGUUUCCCACCUCCUGCCUGGUUCUGGCCUCUGUGUUCACCCGCCUCCUGCCAGGUCCGUUUCCAGCCGCUAACUUCACCCGUCCGUCCUUUCCUGCCUGCGCCUGCAAGGUAGCUGGUGGAGACGCGUCCUCGUGUGCGGAGCUCUGGAACCUGGAGCAGCUGAGGUGGAUGCGCUGCAGGACUGAAGCACAAACUCAGGGACACCCGGAUCAGUGCAGCCUCACGGCCCGUCGCGCUGAUAAGUGGGAGAACAGCAGGACUCCAGGAAUUCCUCUCUGCAUUAAUGGCCUCACGCUCCCACGUUGGACGUUUCCUUUAUGGUUUCUCUUUGGGAACGUUGAUCCCGUCCUGGCGCUGAAACAGAACCAGACUGGUCACAGACGGACUCCACGCCGUCUGCAUGAUUCAUGAAGUGUUUCAUUCCAGACUAAGAUUAAGCUGAUCGUUGCAACCAACGUAUUCCAUUGGUGGAGAAGGCUGGGAUUCUUCAGGAGCUUCCAGGAGGUCUGGCUUUGCUCACGCUCACUAAGAACUGGAGGCGCUCGUCAUGAAGCAGCAGGAAUUAAAAGUGUUUGAGUUGGAAGAACAACCCUUAAUGUGGAUAUUAAUUUCUUGCCUGAAUCUCUGUUUAUUUCAUGUGUUACAUGGGUACAUGACAAAGAAACAUAGAGGUUUGAAAGAAAUUACUUAGGAUCAAAGUUAUCUACUUUAAUCUUUAAAAGCACAUCUUGUUUUGAGUUCUGUCGUAAAGAUCAGGGUAAUGAUGAUGAGAUCAGAACGUGCGCAGAAAUCGCUCCAUUUAAAAAAGUCCAUUUAUCUGCAUGAAUUAUGGUGAAGGGCCGUUCUGUAACAUGGAGGCAGAGCCGACUAGAGCUGCUUCAGUCCUGUAGAGUUGUGUGGCCAGGAGGAACCAGCAAAUGAAACGACAACAUUAAAACUCAUUUUCUUCUCAGUUUCCUUCAGUUUGUUCCAACCACAGAAAAACAAACGAGCCGUUUACAGCCUCCAAAUAGCUUUAUUGUUCUUGCGACUGUCCCUAAAGGUUCAACAUGUGGGAAUGAAAGCUGUGGCUCCCUGCAGCCUCUGUGUUGGGUUCAAAGCCUCGGUGGCAGCAGCUGCUGAAACUCAUCCUCUGCUCCCACGCUGGUUAAAUCCUGAUGAUGGAUUAUGCUCAGUUGUUUUAUGGGACCUUAGUUAGAUCAGUACAAAUGGGAGCGUGGAGGUGUUUGUCCAAACGUAGCUUAAAGAUGUUCACCGUCACAAAUACUGAGCAGCGCUGCAGAUGUGUCACCAAAACCCAUCAGCGUUUUCUUUUCAUGUUUUUUUCCCGUGUGUUCAGUGCUCAGCUGAUUAGACUUUUACUGUAACAGUAGCUAAAUGGAUGAAGCCUGUGGCGAAGCAGAAAACCCUGCAGGCAAAGAGCCAAAGGCAGUGUUAG